RNAcentral lists this ribosomal RNA (839 nucleotides) under Vibrio sp. YACN1. RNAcentral's name for it is "bacterial SSU rRNA". It matches the Rfam family "Bacterial small subunit ribosomal RNA", at positions 356 to 1187 of the family's 1533-position model. The record is from RNAcentral. Lineage: Bacteria; Pseudomonadati; Pseudomonadota; Gammaproteobacteria; Vibrionales; Vibrionaceae.
UGGGGGGAUUGCAAAUGUGGCGAAAGCCUGAUGCAGCCAUGCCGCGUGUAUGAAGAAGGCCUUCGGGUUGUAAAGUACUUUCAGUCGUGAGGAAGGGGGUAAGCUUAAUACGCUUAUCUCUUGACGUUAGCGACAGAAGAAGCACCGGCUAACUCCGUGCCAGCAGCCGCGGUAAUACGGAGGGUGCGAGCGUUAAUCGGAAUUACUGGGCGUAAAGCGCAUGCAGGUGGUUCAAUAAGUCAGAUGUGAAAGCCCGGGGCUCAACCUCGGAACUGCAUUUGAAACUGUUGGACUAGAGUACUGUAGAGGGGGGUAGAAUUUCAGGUGUAGCGGUGAAAUGCGUAGAGAUCUGAAGGAAUACCAGUGGCGAAGGCGGCCCCCUGGACAGAUACUGACACUCAGAUGCGAAAGCGUGGGGAGCAAACAGGAUUAGAUACCCUGGUAGUCCACGCCGUAAACGAUGUCUACUUGGAGGUUGUGGCCUUGAGCCGUGGCUUUCGGAGCUAACGCGUUAAGUAGACCGCCUGGGGAGUACGGUCGCAAGAUUAAAACUCAAAUGAAUUGACGGGGGCCCGCACAAGCGGUGGAGCAUGUGGUUUAAUUCGAUGCAACGCGAAGAACCUUACCUACUCUUGACAUCUAGAGAAGCCAGCGGAGACGCAGGUGUGCCUUCGGGAGCUCUAAGACAGGUGCUGCAUGGCUGUCGUCAGCUCGUGUUGUGAAAUGUUGGGUUAAGUCCCGCAACGAGCGCAACCCUUAUCCUUGUUUGCCAGCACGUAAUGUCGGGAACUCCAAUGAGACUGCCGGUGAUAAACCGGAGGAAGGUGGGGACGACGUCA